GUCGCGGAUUCCUAUCUAUCUGCCCAUGUGGUUGGGGUCACUUCUUGCGGGCACUGUGACUUUUGUCUGCGUCUGGACAACUGAAUG
Molecule: unclassified non-coding RNA, 87 nt
Organism: Aotus nancymaae (Ma's night monkey)
Lineage: Eukaryota; Metazoa; Chordata; Mammalia; Primates; Aotidae
Source: Ensembl